UCGGCAUCUAGAGACCGUCGUGUGUGGUGGAUCUCGUUGUAUCAGUGGUUGUAGUAGUAUUACAAAACGUCAAAACCUCAUCCUUGGUGUCUUUUUCAGGAUGGUGGGUUGUAAUCAUUUGUGUGCAAGCGGUACUGCCUUGGGAUUGCGCAGUGGUGGAAAGGUUUUGCUUGUCAUUCCUUUUUGGUCUUGGUGUUUGUAGGAUUAAGCCUUGUUUUCCUUCACUGCUGCUCGCUCUUACCAUAUAUUUAUAUCUCUUUCUCUCUUUUGGUGUCUUCCGAUUGUUGAGAUUUCUGUUUUCCUUUUUGAGGCUUAGGUUUCUUCAUUGGGUUAGGUUUCUUUCUUCAAUGGGUUAAGUUUCUUUUCUUCAAUUAAAUGAAUAAAUUUUGGUGGGAGAUAGAGCUUGUGUUUGGGGGUUUUCCCCUUGCUAGUUCUUCAUUUUUGAGAUUUAAGCUUAGCUGGUUGGUUUGUUUAUCUUGUUGUGACGAUUAGAAGAUUUUUGCAGUUUUUGUUUAUCUGACGGUCUAUUGAGCAAGAUAAACUUGACAAAGGUAAAUCAUACAAGGAGGUUCAUCAAAGUCGGAGAAUGGCAAGUUUUGUAUUUGAGUUAUGGCCAAAUAUGUGUUAGGAGAUUAUCUUUAAAACAUAUUGUACGGAAAAAAUCCGAAACAAAGCUAUAAAUGGUAAUUAUUAAUGUAUCAUGAAAAAUCUCAUCCUUAUCCAUUUAUAGGUUUAAGAAAAUCCAAUGAUUUUCUUUGCGUUGAUUCGUUUCUCAUGUCUUGGCAGUCUUGCAAUCCUUUUCAAGCAAUAUAAUCAGUCUCGGGUUUAUAAUCGAUAUUUACAGUACUAUAUAAGUCAGGUCUUAUCAUCUUCAAACUUAUCUCGUUUGGUGAAAGCUUUUUAAAUAUGGUGUAUCAGUUUUUUUGUCCAUCUAUUGUAUAUACUUAAUUAUGAUUUCUCUAAAAAAUAACAGUUGGGGAUCAUUUGUUGAUGACGAAUAUAAUAU
RNAcentral lists this long non-coding RNA (1006 nucleotides) under Eutrema salsugineum. RNAcentral describes it as "long non-coding RNA (ESAL_LNC000604)". The record is from RNAcentral. Lineage: Eukaryota; Viridiplantae; Streptophyta; Magnoliopsida; Brassicales; Brassicaceae.